UUGGUAAUUCCAGCUCCAAAAGCGUAUAUUAAAGUUGUUGCAGUUAAAAAGCUCGUAGUUGAUUUUCGACGCAUCUGAGGGGUCCACUUCGGUGCGUACUCUGAGGGUGCGUUUUCUCUGGGGCGCCUUUUGGCAAGCCAGACUGUUACUUUGAAAAAAUUAGAGUGUUCAAAGCGGGCGAUAGCUUGAAUAUAUUAGCAUGGAAUAAUAGAGUAGGACGGAUGGAUCUAUUUUGUUGGUUUCUAGAACCAUCGUAAUGAUUAAUAGGGACGGUCGGGGGCAUCAGUAUUCAGUUGUCAGAGGUGAAAUUCUUGGAUUUACUGAAGACUAACUACUGCGAAAGCAUUUGCCAAGGACGUUUUCAUUAAUCAAGAACGAAAGUUAGGGGAUCGAAGACGAUCAGAUACCGUCGUAGUCUUAACCGUAAACUAUGCCGACUAGGGAUCGGAGGGCGUUAUAAUAACCUCUCCGGCACCUUACGAGAAAUCAAAGUUUUUGGGUUCUGGGGGGAGUAUGGUUGCAAGGCUGAAACUUAAAGGAAUUGACGGAAGGGCACCACCAGGAGUGGAGCCUGCGGCUUAAUUUGACUCAACACGGGGAAACUCACCAGGUCCAGACACAAUAAGGAUUGACAGAUUGAGAGCUCUUUCAUGAUUUUGUGGGUGGUGGUGCAUGGCCGUUCUUAGUUGGUGGAGUGAUUUGUCUGCUUAAUUGCGAUAACGAACGAGACCUUAACCUGCUAAAUAGCUGUAACAAUAGAUUAUUGUUUUGACAGCUUCUUAGAGGGACUAUCGAUUUUCAAGUCGAUGGAAGUUUGAGGCAAUAACAGGUCUGUGAUGCCCUUAGACGUUCUGGGCCGCACGCGCGCUACACUGACGGAGCCAGCGAGUCUAACCUGUGCCGAGAGGUAUGGGUAAUCUUGUGAAACUCCGUCGUGCUGGGGAUAGAGCAUUGCAAUUAUUGCUCUUCAACGAGGAAUUCCUAGUAAGCGCAAGUCACUAGCUUGCGUUGAUUACGUCCCUGCCCUUUGUACACACCGCCC
Molecule: ribosomal RNA, 1042 nt
Filed under: uncultured Galactomyces
Lineage: Eukaryota; Fungi; Ascomycota; Dipodascomycetes; Dipodascales; Dipodascaceae
Description: bacterial SSU rRNA
Rfam family: Eukaryotic small subunit ribosomal RNA
Source: RNAcentral